GAUGAACGCUGGCGGCGUGCCUAAUACAUGCAAGUCGAGCGAGCGGACGAGAAGCUUGCUUCUCUGAUGUUAGCGGCGGACGGGUGAGUAACACGUGGAUAACCUACCUAUAAGACUGGGAUAACUUCGGGAAACCGGAGCUAAUACCGGAUAAUAUUUUGAACCGCAUGGUUCAAAAGUGAAAGACGGUCUUGCUGUCACUUAUAGAUGGAUCCGCGCUGCAUUAGCUAGUUGGUAAGGUAACGGCUUACCAAGGCAACGAUGCAUAGCCGACCUGAGAGGUUGAUCGGCCACACUGGAACUGAGACACGGUCCAGACUCCUACGGGAGGCAGCAGUAGGGAAUCUUCCGCAAUGGGCGAAAGCCUGACGGAGCAACGCCGCGUGAGUGAUGAAGGUCUUCGGAUCGUAAAACUCUGUUAUUAGGGAAGAACAUAUGUGUAAGUAACUGUGCACAUCUUGACGGUACCUAACCAGAAAGCCACGGCUAACUACGUG
RNAcentral lists this ribosomal RNA (497 nucleotides) under uncultured bacterium. Its description in RNAcentral is "partial 16S ribosomal RNA". It matches the Rfam family "Bacterial small subunit ribosomal RNA", at positions 28 to 507 of the family's 1533-position model. The record is from RNAcentral.